RNAcentral lists this unclassified non-coding RNA (497 nucleotides) under uncultured Bordetella sp. RNAcentral's name for it is "partial 16S-23S ribosomal RNA intergenic spacer". It matches the Rfam family "Bacterial small subunit ribosomal RNA", at positions 998 to 1499 of the family's 1533-position model. Lineage: Bacteria; Pseudomonadati; Pseudomonadota; Betaproteobacteria; Burkholderiales; Alcaligenaceae. The record is from RNAcentral.
CGGAAGAGAUUUGGGAGUGCCUGCAAGAGAAACUGAACAUUAAAAGCGUAUGGCUGUCGUCAGCUCGUGUCGUGAGAUGUUGGGUUAAGUCCCGCAACGAGCGCAACCCUUGUCAUUAGUUGCUACGAAAGGGCACUCUAAUGAGACUGCCGGUGACAAACCGGAGGAAGGUGGGGGAUGACGUCAAGUCCUCAUGGCCCUUAUGGGUAGGGUCAUUAAUGUCAUACAAUGGUCGGGACAGAGGGUCGCCAACCCGCGAGGGGAGCCAACUCUAGAAACCUGAUCAGUCCGGAUCGCAGUCUGCAACCUGACUGCGUGAAGUCGGAAUCGCUAGUAAUCGCGGAUCAGCAUGUCGCGGUGAAUACGUUCCCGGGUCUUGUACACACCGCCUCAGUCACACCAUGGGAGUGGUUUUACCAGAAAGUAGUUAGCCUAACCGUAAGGAGGGCGAUUACCACGGUAGGAUUCAUGACUGGGGUGAAGUCGUAACAAGGUAA